UGACCGUGGCCAUGUAGGUGGAAUCAGCGGUGGAGGAGGAGGAUGAUGUAUAUAUUUUUUAAUUGGGGUAGCCCCCAAAGUAUUGGGACAUUUAAAAAAGAGACAUCUUUAUUCCGCAGACUAGCUGUUGACAUUAUAGUUGCGCAGGCACUUUGUUGACUCUAGAGAACCUCGGGCCAAUCGCACAUCCCCGUGACAGCGACUUUGUAUUCGGAUGUCAUCCAUAUCAACUUUCGAUGUCAGUAUCUGCGCCUACCAUGGUGAUCACAGGUAACUGGGAAUCAGGGUUCCAUUCCGUACAGGGACCCUGAGAAACGGCUACCACAUGCAAGGAAGGCAGCAGGCGUGCAAAUGACCCACUCCCGACACGGGAAGGUAGUGA
RNAcentral lists this ribosomal RNA (382 nucleotides) under Pelobates cultripes (western spadefoot toad). It matches the Rfam family "Eukaryotic small subunit ribosomal RNA", at positions 62 to 470 of the family's 1831-position model. The record is from RNAcentral. Lineage: Eukaryota; Metazoa; Chordata; Amphibia; Anura; Pelobatidae.